CCUACGGUAGGCUGCAGUGAGGAAUAUUGGUCAAUGGUCGGGAGACUGAACCAGCCAAGCCGCGUGAGGGAUGAAGGUACAGAGUAUCGUAAACCUCUUUUGUCAGGGAACAAAGGCGGGGACGUGUCCCCGGAUGAGUGUACCUGAAGAAAAAGCAUCGGCUAACUCCGUGCCAGCAGCCGCGGUAAUACGGAGGAUGCGAGCGUUAUCCGGAUUUAUUGGGUUUAAAGGGUGCGCAGGCGGUCUGUUAAGUCAGCGGUAAACGCCCGGGGCUCAACCCCGGCCCGCCGUUGAAACUGGCAGUCUCGAGUUGGAGAGAAGUAGGCGGAAUGCGCGGUGUAGCGGUGAAAUGCAUAGAUAUCGCGCAGAACUCCGAUUGCGAAGGCAGCAUGCCGGCUCCACACUGACGCUGAGGCACGAAAGCGUGGGUAUCGAACAGGAUUAGAUACCCGGGUAGUC
This 459-nucleotide ribosomal RNA is filed under the name uncultured bacterium. RNAcentral's name for it is "partial 16S ribosomal RNA". It matches the Rfam family "Bacterial small subunit ribosomal RNA", at positions 338 to 795 of the family's 1533-position model. The record is from RNAcentral.